Molecule: ribosomal RNA, 490 nt
Filed under: uncultured bacterium
Lineage: Bacteria
Description: partial 16S ribosomal RNA
Rfam family: Bacterial small subunit ribosomal RNA
Source: RNAcentral
AAUGAACGCUGGCGGCAUGCCUUACACAUGCAAGUCGAACGGCAGCAUGACCUAGCUUGCUAGGUUGAUGGCGAGUGGCGAACGGGUGAGUAAUGCAUCGGAACGUGCCUUUUAGUGGGGGAUAACGUAGCGAAAGUUACGCUAAUACCGCAUAUUCUCUGAGGAGGAAAGCAGGGGACCUUCGGGCCUUGCGCUAGAAGAGCGGCCGAUGUCGGAUUAGCUAGUUGGUGAGGUAAAGGCUCACCAAGGCAACGAUCCGUAGCGGGUCUGAGAGGAUGAUCCGCCACACUGGGACUGAGACAAGGCCCAGACUCCUACGGGAGGCAGCAGUGGGGAAUUUUGGACAAUGGGCGCAAGCCUGAUCCAGCCAUGCCGCGUGAGUGAGGAAGGCCUUCGGGUUGUAAAGCUCUUUCGGCUGGGAAGAAAUCGCACCCUCUAAUACAGGGUGUGGAUGACGGUACCAGCAUAAGAAGCACCGGCUAACUACGUG